Molecule: ribosomal RNA, 589 nt
Filed under: Candida albicans
Lineage: Eukaryota; Fungi; Ascomycota; Pichiomycetes; Serinales; Debaryomycetaceae
Description: LSU rRNA
Rfam family: Eukaryotic large subunit ribosomal RNA
Source: RNAcentral
GGAGGAAAAGAAACCACCAGGGAUUGCCUCAGUAGCGGCGAGUGAAGCGGCAAAAGCUCAAAUUUGAAAUCUGGCGUCUUUGGCGUCCGAGUUGUAAUUUGAAGAAGGUAUCUUUGGGCCCGGCUCUUGUCUAUGUUCCUUGGAACAGGACGUCACAGAGGGUGAGAAUCCCGUGCGAUGAGAUGACCCGGGUCUGUGUAAAGUUCCUUCGACGAGUCGAGUUGUUUGGGAAUGCAGCUCUAAGUGGGUGGUAAAUUCCAUCUAAAGCUAAAUAUUGGCGAGAGACCGAUAGCGAACAAGUACAGUGAUGGAAAGAUGAAAAGAACUUUGAAAAGAGAGUGAAAAAGUACGUGAAAUUGUUGAAAGGGAAGGGCUUGAGAUCAGACUUGGUAUUUUGCAUGCUGCUCUCUCGGGGGCGGCCGCUGCGGUUUACCGGGCCAGCAUCGGUUUGGAGCGGCAGGAUAAUGGCGGAGGAAUGUGGCACGGCUUCUGCUGUGUGUUAUAGCCUCUGACGAUACUGCCAGCCUAGACCGAGGACUGCGGUUUUUACCUAGGAUGUUGGCAUAAUGAUCUUAAGUCGCCCGUCUUG